GACGAACGCUGUCGGCGUGCUUAACACAUGCAAGUCGAACGGAAAGGCCCUGCUUUUGUGGGGUGCUCGAGUGGCGAACGGGUGAGUAACACGUGAGUAACCUGCCCUUGACUUUGGGAUAACUUCAGGAAACUGGGGCUAAUACCGGAUAGGAGCUCCUGCUGCAUGGUGGGGGUUGGAAAGUUUCGGCGGUUGGGGAUGGACUCGCGGCUUAUCAGCUUGUUGGUGGGGUAGUGGCUUACCAAGGCUUUGACGGGUAGCCGGCCUGAGAGGGUGACCGGCCACAUUGGGACUGAGAUACGGCCCAGACUCCUACGGGAGGCAGCAGUGGGGAAUAUUGCACAAUGGGCGGAAGCCUGAUGCAGCAACGCCGCGUGCGGGAUGACGGCCUUCGGGUUGUAAACCGCUUUCGCCUGUGACGAAGCGUGAGUGACGGUAAUGGGUAAAGAAGCACCGGCUAACUACGUGCCAGCAGCCGCGGUGAUACGUAGGGUGCGAGCGUUGUCCGGAUUUAUUGGGCGUAAAGGGCUCGUAGGUGGUUGAUCGCGUCGGAAGUGUAAUCUUGGGGCUUAACCCUGAGCGUGCUUUCGAUACGGGUUGACUUGAGGAAGGUAGGGGAGAAUGGAAUUCCUGGUGGAGCGGUGGAAUGCGCAGAUAUCAGGAGGAACACCAGUGGCGAAGGCGGUUCUCUGGGCCUUUCCUGACGCUGAGGAGCGAAAGCGUGGGGAGCGAACAGGCUUAGAUACCCUGGUAGUCCACGCUGUAAACGGUGGGUACUAGGUGUGGGGUCCAUUCCACGGGUUCCGUGCCGUAGCUAACGCUUUAAGUACCCCGCCUGGGGAGUACGGCCGCAAGGCUAAAACUCAAAGGAAUUGACGGGGCCCCGCACAAGCGGCGGAGCAUGCGGAUUAAUUCGAUGCAACGCGUAGAACCUUACCUGGGUUUGACAUGGAUCGGGAGUGCUCAGAGAUGGGUGUGCCUCUUUUGGGGUCGGUUCACAGGUGGUGCAUGGCUGUCGUCAGCUCGUGUCGUGAGAUGUUGGGUUAAGUCCCGCAACGAGCGCAACCCUUGUUCACUGUUGCCAGCACGUUAUGGUGGGGACUCAGUGGAGACCGCCGGGGUCAACUCGGAGGAAGGUGGGGAUGACGUCAAGUCAUCAUGCCCCUUAUGUCCAGGGCUUCACGCAUGCUACAAUGGCUGGUACAGAGAGUGGCGAGCCUGUGAGGGUGAGCGAAUCUCGGAAAGCCGGUCUCAGUUCGGAUUGGGGUCUGCAACUCGACCUCAUGAAGUCGGAGUCGCUAGUAAUCGCAGAUCAGCAACGCUGCGGUGAAUACGUUCCCGGG
Molecule: ribosomal RNA, 1343 nt
Filed under: uncultured bacterium
Lineage: Bacteria
Description: 16S ribosomal RNA
Rfam family: Bacterial small subunit ribosomal RNA
Source: RNAcentral